UACGUAGGGGCCUAGCGUUGUCCGGAUUUAUUGGGCGUAAAGAGCUCGUAGGCGGUUCGGUAAGUCAGGGGUGAAAUCUCCACGCUCAACGUGGAGGCGCCACCUGAAACUGCCGUGACUCGAGUCCGGUAGGGGAGUGUGGAAUUCCCGGUGUAGCGGUGAAAUGCGCAGAUAUCAGGAAGAACACCCGUGGCGAAGGCGGCUCUCUGGGACGGUACUGACGCUGAGACGCGAAAGCGUGGGGAGCGAACAGG
This 254-nucleotide ribosomal RNA is filed under the name uncultured bacterium. RNAcentral describes it as "partial 16S ribosomal RNA". It matches the Rfam family "Bacterial small subunit ribosomal RNA", at positions 524 to 776 of the family's 1533-position model. The record is from RNAcentral.